AACGUCCGUCGUGAAGAGGGAAACAACCCAGACCGCCAGCUAAGGUCCCAAAGUCAUGGUUAAGUGGGAAACGAUGUGGGAAGGCCCAGACAGCCAGGAUGUUGGCUUAGAAGCAGCCAUCAUUUAAAGAAAGCGUAAUAGCUCACUGGUCGAGUCGGCCUGCGCGGAAGAUGUAACGGGGCUAAACCAUGCACCGAAGCUGCGGCAGCGACGCUUAUGCGUUGUUGGGUAGGGGAGCGUUCUGUAAGCCUGUGAAGGUGUGCUGUGAGGCAUGCUGGAGGUAUCAGAAGUGCGAAUGCUGACAUAAGUAACGAUAAAGCGGGUGAAAAGCCCGCUCGCCGGAAGACCAAGGGUUCCUGUCCAACGUUAAUCGGGGCAGGGUGAGUCGACCCCUAAGGCGAGGCCGAAAGGCGUAGUCGAUGGGAAACAGGUUAAUAUUCCUGUACUUGGUGUUACUGCGAAGGGGGGACGGAGAAGGCUAUGUUGGCCGGGCGACGGUUGUCCCGGUUUAAGCGUGUAGGCUGGUUUUCCAGGCAAAUCCGGAAAAUCAAGGCUGAGGCGUGAUGACGAGGCACUACGGUGCUGAAGCAACAAAUGCCCUGCUUCCAGGAAAAGCCUCUAAGCAUCAGGUAACAUCAAAUCGUACCCCAAACCGACACAGGUGGUCAGGUAGAGAAUACCAAGGCGCUUGAGAGAACUCGGGUGAAGGAACUAGGCAAAAUGGUGCCGUAACUUCGGGAGAAGGCACGCUGAUAUGUAGGUGAAGUCCCUCGCGGAUGGAGCUGAAAUCAGUCGAAGAUACCAGCUGGCUGCAACUGUUUAUUAAAAACACAGCACUGUGCAAACACGAAAGUGGACGUAUACGGUGUGACGCCUGCCCGGUGCCGGAAGGUUAAUUGAUGGGGUCAGCGCAAGCGAAGCUCUUGAUCGAAGCCCCGGUAAACGGCGGCCGUAACUAUAACGGUCCUAAGGUAGCGAAAUUCCUUGUCGGGUAAGUUCCGACCUGCACGAAUGGCGUAAUGAUGGCCAGGCUGUCUCCACCCGAGACUCAGUGAAAUUGAACUCGCUGUGAAGAUGCAGUGUACCCGCGGCAAGACGGAAAGACCCCGUGAACCUUUACUAUAGCUUGACACUGAACAUUGAGCCUUGAUGUGUAGGAUAGGUGGGAGGCUUAGAAGUGUGGACGCCAGUCUGCAUGGAGCCGACCUUGAAAUACCACCCUUUAAUGUUUGAUGUUCUAACGUUGACCCGUAAUCCGGGUUGCGGACAGUGUCUGGUGGGUAGUUUGACUGGGGCGGUCUCCUCCUAAAGAGUAACGGAGGAGCACGAAGGUUGGCUAAUCCUGGUCGGACAUCAGGAGGUUAGUGCAAUGGCAUAAGCCAGCUUGACUGCGAGCGUGACGGCGCGAGCAGGUGCGAAAGCAGGUCAUAGUGAUCCGGUGGUUCUGAAUGGAAGGGCCAUCGCUCAACGGAUAAAAGGUACUCCGGGGAUAACAGGCUGAUACCGCCCAAGAGUUCAUAUCGACGGCGGUGUUUGGCACCUCGAUGUCGGCUCAUCACAUCCUGGGGCUGAAGUAGGUCCCAAGGGUAUGGCUGUUCGCCAUUUAAAGUGGUACGCGAGCUGGGUUUAGAACGUCGUGAGACAGUUCGGUCCCUAUCUGCCGUGGGCGCUGGAGAACUGAGGGGGGCUGCUCCUAGUACGAGAGGACCGGAGUGGACGCAUCACUGGUGUUCGGGUUGUCAUGCCAAUGGCACUGCCCGGUAGCUAAAUGCGGAAGAGAUAAGUGCUGAAAGCAUCUAAGCACGAAACUUGCC
RNAcentral lists this ribosomal RNA (1814 nucleotides) under Escherichia coli. Its description in RNAcentral is "partial 23S ribosomal RNA". It matches the Rfam family "Bacterial large subunit ribosomal RNA", at positions 1000 to 2798 of the family's 2925-position model. The record is from RNAcentral. Lineage: Bacteria; Pseudomonadati; Pseudomonadota; Gammaproteobacteria; Enterobacterales; Enterobacteriaceae.